Molecule: ribosomal RNA, 1389 nt
Filed under: Microbacterium laevaniformans
Lineage: Bacteria; Bacillati; Actinomycetota; Actinomycetes; Micrococcales; Microbacteriaceae
Description: bacterial SSU rRNA
Rfam family: Bacterial small subunit ribosomal RNA
Source: RNAcentral
GGGUCAAGAUGACGUAAGCUGGGUGCCACAGUGGGCGGAACGGGUGAGUAACACGUGAGCAAUCUGCCCCUGACUCUGGGAUAAGCGCUGGAAUCGGCGUCUAAUACUGGAUACGAACCGUGGAGGCAUCUUCAACGGUUGGAAAGAUUUUGUUGGUCAGGGAUGAGCUCGCGGCCUAUCAGCUUGUUGGUGAGGUAAUGGCUCACCAAGGCGUUCGACGGGUAGCCGGCCUUGAGAGGGUGACCGGCCACACUGGGACUGAGACACGGCCCAGACUCCUACGGGAGGCAGCAGUGGGGAAUAUUGCACAAUGGGCGAAAGCCUGAUGCAGCAACGCCGCGUGAGGGAUGACGGCCUUCGGGUUGUAAACCUCUUUUAGCAGGGAAGAAGCGAAAGUGACGGUACCUGCAGAAAAAGCGCCGGCUAACUACGUGCCAGCAGCCGCGGUAAUACGUAGGGCGCAAGCGUUAUCCGGAAUUAUUGGGCGUAAAGAGCUCGUAGGCGGUUUGUCGCGUCUGCUGUGAAAUCCCGAGGCUCAACUUCGGGUCUGCAGUGGGUACGGGCAGACUAGAGUGCGGUAGGGGAGAUUGGAAUUCCUGGUGUAGCGGUGGAAUGCGCAGAUAUCAGGAGGAACACCGAUGGCGAAGGCAGAUCUCUGGGCCGUAACUGACGCUGAGGAGCGAAAGGGUGGGGAGCAAACAGGCUUAGAUACCCUGGUAGUCCACCCCGUAAACGUUGGGAACUAGUUGUGGGGUCCAUUCCACGGAUUCCGUGACGCAGCUAACGCAUUAAGUUCCCCGCCUGGGGAGUACGGCCGCAAGGCUAAAACUCAAAGGAAUUGACGGGGACCCGCACAAGCGGCGGAGCAUGCGGAUUAAUUCGAUGCAACGCGAAGAACCUUACCAAGGCUUGACAUAUACGAGAACGCUGCAGAAAUGUAGAACUCUUUGGACACUCGUAAACAGGUGGUGCAUGGUUGUCGUCAGCUCGUGUCGUGAGAUGUUGGGUUAAGUCCCGCAACGAGCGCAACCCUCGUUUUAUGUUGCCAGCACGUAAUGGUGGGAACUCAUGGGAUACUGCCGGGGUCAACUCCGAAGAAAGUGGGGAUGAACGUCAAAUCAUCAUGCCCCCUAUGUCUUGGGCUUCACGCAUGCUACAAUGGCCGGUACAAAGGGCUGCAAUACCGUGAGGUGGAGCGAAUCCUCAACAAAGCCGGUCCUCAGUUCGGAUUGAGGUCUGCAACUCGACCUCAUGAAGUCGGAGUCAGCUAGUAAUCGUCAGAUCAGCAACGCUGCGGUGAAUACGUUCCCGGGUUUUGUACACACCGCCUGUCAAGUCAUGAAAGUGUUGGUACACCUUAAUUCCCGGGUUCACGAAGUCCGUUAAGCA